Molecule: long non-coding RNA, 817 nt
Filed under: Olea europaea subsp. europaea
Lineage: Eukaryota; Viridiplantae; Streptophyta; Magnoliopsida; Lamiales; Oleaceae
Source: RNAcentral
AUUUCCCUCACAACUAAUACUUGGACUUCCAUUCAAAAUGUUAAUUACAUGUCUCUUACAGCACAUUUUAUUGAUUCUGAUUGGACACUUAACAAGCGUAUUUUAAAUUUUUGUGUUGUUCAAAAUCACAAAGGAGAAACGAUUGAGAAAUUGAUUGAGACUUGUUUGCAAGAUUGGGGAAUUGAGAAAGUUUUUACAAUCACUGUUGAUAAUGCAAGCUCUAAUGAUGUGGCUAUUGCUUAUCCUAGGAAGAAGUUGAUUGCUUGGGGUAGUGAUGGAUGUGUUCUAGAUGGAAGAUAUUUGCACUUGAGGUGUUGUGCACACAUUAUAAACUUGAUUGUUUGUGAGGGGUUGAGGGAAGUACAUGACUCCAUUUUGAAUAUUCGCAAUACAAUCAAAUAUGUGAAAUCUUCUCCUGCUAGGUAUGAAAAACUGAAGGAGUGUGCGAAAAAAGAGAAGAUCGAUUGCAAGUCUAUUGUAUUUUUGGAUGUUCCAAUUAGGUGGAAUUCAACCUAUUUGAUGUUGGAAACGUCAUUGAAAUUUGAGAAAGCUUUUGAUAGGUUAGAAGAAGAGGAUGCUCAAUAUUUGCAUUACUUUCGGGAAGACGAUGGUGGUAAAAAGAGAGGUGGACCUCCUUCAAAUUUAGAUUGGAAAAAUGGAUCUGUAUUUGUCAAGUUUCUUAAAAAAAAAAAAUUUGAUGUGACUUUGACUUUUAGUUCUUCAUUGCAUGUUAGUGCUUGUGCUUAUCUCCAUGAAAUUUGUAAUAUUGUAUUCGAAUUGGAUGAAUGGAGAUUGAGUGGUAAUUUUUUAUUAGGUG